AGUGAACGCUGGCGGUAGGCCUAACACAUGCAAGUCGAACGGCAGCACAGUAAGAGCUUGCUCUUACGGGUGGCGAGUGGCGGACGGGUGAGGAAUACAUCGGAAUCUACUUUUUCGUGGGGGAUAACGUAGGGAAACUUACGCUAAUACCGCAUACGACCUACGGGUGAAAGCAGGGGAUCUUCAGACCUUGCGCGAUUGAAUGAGCCGAUGUCGGAUUAGCUAGUUGGCGGGGUAACGGCCCACCAAGGCGACGAUCCGUAGCUGGUCUGAGAGGAUGAUCAGCCACACUGGAACUGAGACACGGUCCAGACUCCUACGGGAGGCAGCAGUGGGGAAUAUUGGACAAUGGGCGCAAGCCUGAUCCAGCCAUACCGCGUGGGUGAAGAAGGCCUUCGGGUUGUAAAGCCCUUUUGUUGGGAAAGAAAAGCAGCAGGUUAAUACCCCGCUGUUCUGACGGUACCCAAAGAAUAAGCACCGGCUAACUUCGUG
This 492-nucleotide ribosomal RNA is filed under the name uncultured bacterium. Its description in RNAcentral is "partial 16S ribosomal RNA". It matches the Rfam family "Bacterial small subunit ribosomal RNA", at positions 29 to 507 of the family's 1533-position model. The record is from RNAcentral.